Molecule: long non-coding RNA, 2262 nt
Organism: Carassius gibelio (silver crucian carp)
Lineage: Eukaryota; Metazoa; Chordata; Actinopteri; Cypriniformes; Cyprinidae
Exons: 3
Source: RefSeq, a predicted model, not a curated record
CUGUUAGUUUUGACAUGCCUUCUGCUCUCAGAAUUGAAGCCCUUUGUUGUUUGCAGAAUAUCAGAGGAGACUUGCUAGCAUUAGAGACAAAUCUUUCAGAAUAUCUGUCUUUCUGUUUUAGAACCAUAGCCCUUUCCUAAUGUGCAUCUUCUCAUAAGGUGAGGUUCUGAGGUUUACAAGCUAGAUCCAUGCUCAGACUACAUCCGUGUGAUAACAGACAACUGUUGCAUGAAUGAGAACGUACUACUAAACCAGGAGAGAAACAGACCAAAAGAAUAACUAAAAACAACAGCAUUCGUAGAGAGCGGCCAAACUUUCAUCAUGAUUCAGACAGACCUGUGGAGAUUCAGUCUGAUGAUUCCCAGAGAAACAUUCCCAGAUGAGUUAUGACAACAACUCCAGGAUGAGUCUCAAAGAACCAAAUAAUCCUGGAUCAUGUCAAAUCAUCAACAAUAAAUCCAGCUAACAGAGUAAUCUACACAUGAAGAACAGACCCAGCGUUCAUCAAACUAACAGUUUCUCAGAUCCGUUUCUUUACACUGAACUUUUACUGACAACAUUAGGUACAUCACAGUUUCCUGCAUCUGAUAGUGAACAUUUAUAUAAGACAUGAAAUUACAACACAGAUGACAGGUCCAUCAAAAAACAUACAUUCAUAUAAUUCACACACUGAAAUCAGUGAUGAACUGCCUUUAACUGAGUGUUUUAUCCUUUUGCAUUAUCAACGCACUAUUUUCCUGUUUGAUACUGUAAAGCUGCUUGGACUCAAUGUGUAAUGUUAAAAUAAACAGCUGAACAACACUAGAAACAGAGCUCUAUAUGAACUCAAUCACUGCUCAACAAACACUUUUAUGGUUUCAUGAAAUCACCUUUAUUUUUAUUUAUAAUGCUUUAAACAAAAUACAUUGCAUCAAAGCAACUGAACAACAUUCAUUUGGAAAACAGUGUCUCAAUAAUGCAAAAUGAUAGUUAAAGGCAGUUCAUCAUUGAAUUCAGUGAUGUCAUCUCUGUUCAGUUUAAAUAGUGUCUGUGCAUUUAUUUGCAAUCAAGUCAAUGAUAUCGCUGUAGAUGAAGUGACCCCAACUAAGCAAGCCAGAGGCGACAGCGGCAAGGAACCGAAACUCCAUCGGUGACAGAAUGGAGAAAGAAACCUUGGGAGAAACCAGGCUCAGUUGGGGGUCAGUUCUCCUCUGACCAGACGAAACCAGUAGUUCAAUUCCAGGCUGCAGCAAAGUCAGAUUGUGCAGAAGAAUCAUCUGUUUCCUGUGGUCUUGUCCUGGUGCUCCUCUGAAAUGAUCAGGAUUUAUUAAAAUUGAGUAUAUAGACUGAAUAACUGUGAGACUGAAGCACUGCUGAAGCUUCAUCAUGUUCAGGAUCAGGAAGCAGACUUACACCAGACUAAAUCAAGCAUUUCUCAAAUAAACAAAUGAACACAAUAAACAGACUCAUUGUUCCUCUUUGUCAUGAUAUGUUUAGUUAAGUUUCUGUCUUGUCUUAUGAGCUCUCAUUAGUUUUCCACGGUUUCUUAUUAGUUAAUCCGUGUCCAGCUGUUCCUCCUUAGUUUUCUCAUUUACCAUGUGUGUACUUAUAGUCCUGUUUCUGUUCUAUCAUUUAUCGGUUAUCAGUUGUGAUAUGAUCUGUAUCUAGUCACUAGACUCAGUAAAGUAUAUUUGAAUUAGAUGUCUUCUUCUGCUGUUCUCAUUCCCAGUCAGCGUGUUACACUCUUCCUGCAGUCAGAUCACCUGCUGCUUCCGAAAACUUAGACAGGUGACUUGCUGCUUGCUGUCUAAUCAGUCAAUGACUUUGCAGGCAGCGUUUUUACCCGAAGGCACCUCAUGAAACGGAUUUCGGACAGUCUUCUGAGGCAGUGUAAUGGUUUAAUGAUCAACAGCAAAAUAUAGAGAGCUUUGAUGAUAACUAGGAGGAUAUUUCAUUACUGCAAUAUUGAUUUCUCGCUAGAAAUCACAUAAAAAGUGGAAAACGUUGAUCAGAAACAUACAUAUAUCUACAACAGGGUCCGAAUUCUGCCAAAAAUACCAAGCCAAGGGCCACUGACCUAUAUAUAUAUAUAUAGAUAUUAUUAUUAUUAUUAUUAUUAUUACAAUUAUUAUAUUAUUGUUGCUUUUGUUAAGAUAAUCAAAAGAUGGUCUCAAGACAAAUAUUCAGAUUUUGUUUUAUUCAAAUAAUUGUGAAUUUUUUUGCUUUAAGAUACAGAAGAACUUUGCCUGUUGAAUAUUAAAAAUAAAUGAACAUGCAAACCAA